Small nuclear RNA from Suncus etruscus (white-toothed pygmy shrew), 164 nucleotides. RefSeq annotates it as U1 spliceosomal RNA. Lineage: Eukaryota; Metazoa; Chordata; Mammalia; Eulipotyphla; Soricidae. The record is from RefSeq and is a predicted model, not a curated record. The transcript has a single exon.
AUACUUACCAGGCAGGGGGGAUUUCAUGAUCUAGAAGGUGGUUUCCCCAGGGUGAGGCUCGCCCAUUACACUUCAGACAUGCUGACCUCUGUGAUUUCCCCAAAUGUGGGAAACUCGACUGCAUAAUUUGUGAUAAUUGGGGACUGCAUGUGCGCUCUCCCCUG